CUCUAUUUUACGUCGAGUGGUAUAUAUACGGGGAGAAGGGUCGGGAGGAUAUUAUCUGAAGGCCUAUUAAGAAUUCUCUUAUAUUCGUCGAGAUUCAUAACACACUGGGAAGGGGGCUGAGAUGGUGGGAGAAACAUCGAAGAAGCUGGAUCACUUUCUUCUGCUGACAGUGCUGCUGCUGCUGAUGAUAUUCUCGCCGCACACUACUCGUUGGGGAGCGACUGCUUCUUCAAUCCAGCUUGACAACAGCACCCACACCGCGCUUGAUUACCAGGGCCGCAUGGAGGAGCCAGAGCUACUCUUCGAUUCGGAAAUAAACAGGAUGCUGGCCACUGACUAUCAGACUGCCACUAGAGCCGUUAAAAACCCUAAUAAGCCUGCAGUUUCCAACUGUAACCGACCUCCAAAGUACGCAAGCUGUCUUCCCGAUAAAACCGGAAGGAAGCCACAACAAAAGUGUGUUACCUACACACGGGGUUGCAAAUGAUAUUGGUAAAAAUGUUUUGUGUCUACUCUUAAAAUAAAGUCUUGGGGUGUGUGGGUGUGUUUGUUUAAUUUGUUUUCCUUUAUAGCUUUCUGAUCAUGCGAUCAAAUGUAAUAAUAAUGUAAAUCAGUUAAUUGCUGAUGUGAAGGAAGUCUUUUGCUAAUUCUUAAAUUGUUCUUAUGAACUAAGAAUCAUGGCGUCGCUAUUGGAAUA
Molecule: long non-coding RNA, 697 nt
Organism: Juglans regia (Persian walnut)
Lineage: Eukaryota; Viridiplantae; Streptophyta; Magnoliopsida; Fagales; Juglandaceae
Exons: 2
Source: RefSeq, a predicted model, not a curated record